GUAGUUAGCCGGGGCUUCCUCACAGGGUACCGUCACUUUCUUCGUUCCCUGCGACAGAGGUUUACAAUCCGAAAACCUUCUUCCCUCACGCGGCGUUGCUGGGUCAGGCUUGCGCCCAUUGCCCAAUAUUCCCCACUGCUGCCUCCCGUAGGAGUCUGGACCGUGUCUCAGUUCCAGUGUGGCCGAUCAGCCUCUCAGCUCGGCUACCCAUCGUCGGCUAGGUGGGCCGUUACCCCGCCUACUACCUAAUGGGACGCGAACUCCUCUCAAAGCGAUAAAUCUUUGACCUCUCUCCGAUGCCGGAGCGUGGUCUUAUGCGGUAUUAGCACCGAUUUCUCUGCGUUAUCCCCCACUUUGAGUUAGAUUGUUCACGCGUUACUCACCCGUUCGCCACUAAGAUAUAAACCGAAAUCUCAUAUCUCCGUUCGACUUGCAUGUGUUAGGCACGCCGCCAGCGUUCGUCCUGAGCCAGGAUCAAACUCUGA
This 485-nucleotide ribosomal RNA is filed under the name uncultured bacterium. Its description in RNAcentral is "partial 16S ribosomal RNA". The record is from RNAcentral.